Gossypium arboreum is the source of this 106-nucleotide non-coding RNA. The record is from Rfam. NCBI's taxonomy places the organism in Eukaryota, Viridiplantae, Streptophyta, Magnoliopsida, Malvales, Malvaceae.
AAACCAUGCAGCGGGCAUUUUCUUAUAAAUUCCCUGAAUCAUUCCCAAACAUCAUACAAUGUCUCAUCUUCAAAUGCCGAAAAUAUGUAAUAUCGUUCCUCAAUUU